Small nucleolar RNA from Clupea harengus (Atlantic herring), 66 nucleotides. Ensembl annotates it as Small nucleolar RNA SNORD52. Lineage: Eukaryota; Metazoa; Chordata; Actinopteri; Clupeiformes; Clupeidae. The record is from Ensembl.
UGUGAUGAUGAUUUUUGCAGACUAGAGUCUCUGACUACCGUUGAUGUCUACACACUGCACUGAACA